Vulpes vulpes (red fox) is the source of this 414-nucleotide long non-coding RNA. The record is from Ensembl. NCBI's taxonomy places the organism in Eukaryota, Metazoa, Chordata, Mammalia, Carnivora, Canidae.
GGUGUAUUGCAUUUUCCAAAGUUAGCAACAAACGGAAUCUCUGACCGACUGACCUUCUGAUCUUUGCAUGACCAGCUCUGACUAUCCUCCUGUACAGAGGUAUAGGGCCGAUGUGCCACUCUGGGAUGGGGAAACCGAGGCCCAGAGAUGUUAGGCAGCUUCUACCAACUGCUGAGCGGGGAACCAAGAAGCAGCCCCAGCCCAGAAGGUAAAAAGAGCAAAGGGGCACGGCCUUGCUUUGUAAGGAUGGUCCUGAGAACACAGGCGGGACUACAGCAGCAGCAGGCUUGGCAAACACCCCAGCCCUCCCCAGACUUCCUGAACCAGAAAUUCUGAGGGUGAGGCCAGCAUUGUGUUUUUAAUACGUCCCUUCCCCACCCCACCCCCCCACCCCCACACACACAGAGGGGCCUG